Mesocricetus auratus (golden hamster) is the source of this 552-nucleotide long non-coding RNA. RefSeq lists it as uncharacterized. The transcript has 3 exons. NCBI's taxonomy places the organism in Eukaryota, Metazoa, Chordata, Mammalia, Rodentia, Cricetidae. The record is from RefSeq and is a predicted model, not a curated record.
UUCUCUCGCAAACAGAGACCUCAGUCUUGACAACAUCUCUAAUGAUUAUCCAGAGUCACUGAAGCAAUGUCCUAAGUGCAGUUGGUGUUGCUACAACACUGGUGACAUCAUGGAAUGCCAGGAGCUCUCUAGGAUACAAUAGAAUGCCCAGGGAAGGGCCUGCUGAUCUCAUGGAGAACAGCCUUUGCCACCCUGCUAAUUAUCACUCCAUGAAUGAUCCAAAAUCCCAGGUUCCCUUUCCAGGACCCUGCCUUGGAAUAAAGGAUGGAACAAAAAUGAUCCUGCCUGUCCAUCCUUUGGCAUCAUAGCUCAGAGAGGGGUCUGAGAUAAACUCCAGAGACCAGGGCUGGGGAGGAUCAUCAUAAGAAACAGGAAUGCCCCCACCUUGACUGGUAUAGGACCUAGACGUCUCACUUCACUGGAAUGGUUUGGCACUGCCAGGAGGGAGAACCUGGCCUCCAGCAGAACCCAGCUACCAGAUAAGGGCCUGAUGGCACAGGGAACAUAGCUAUUUUCCAUACAUGAAAUAUACCAGCAGAAGCAGUUUAUGAC